This 890-nucleotide ribosomal RNA is filed under the name uncultured Sphingobacteriales bacterium. RNAcentral's name for it is "bacterial SSU rRNA". It matches the Rfam family "Bacterial small subunit ribosomal RNA", at positions 13 to 918 of the family's 1533-position model. The record is from RNAcentral. Lineage: Bacteria; Pseudomonadati; Bacteroidota; Sphingobacteriia; Sphingobacteriales.
UUGAUUCUGGCUCAGGAUGAACGCUAGCGGUAGGCUUAAGACAUGCAAGUCGAGCGGGCAGCGAUGCCAGCGGCGCACGGGUGCGUAACGCGUAUGUAACUUGCCGCUAACUGGGGGAUAGCCUUCCGAAAGGAAGAUUAAUACCGCAUAAUAUCUUUUUCUUGCAUGAGAGGAAGAUUAAACCUACGGGGGUUAGCGAUAGGCAUGCGUAUCAUUAGUUAGUUGGUGAGGUAACGGCUCACCAAGACUACGAUGAUUAGGGGUUCUGAGAGGAUGGUCCCCCACACUGGCACUGAGAUACGGGCCAGACUUCUACGGAAGGCAGCAGUCGGGAAUAUUGGGCAAUGGGCGGAAGCCUGACCCAGCCAUACCGCGUGCAGGAAGAAGGUCCUAUGGAUUGUAAACUGCUUUUGUUUGGGAAGAAAAAGAGGGUUCGCCCUUUAUUGACGGUACCAGACGAAUAAGCCACGGCUAACUACGUGCCAGCAGCCGCGGUAAUACGUAGGUGGCAAGCGUUAUCCGGAUUUACUGGGUUUAAAGGGUGCGUAGGCGGGUGAAUAAGUCAGGGGUGAAAGCUGGCAGCUUAACUGUCAAAUUGCCUUUGAUACUGUUCAUCUUGAAUGCGGUUGAGGUAGCUGGAAUGGGUAGUGUAGCGGUGAAAUGCAUAGAUAUUACCCAGAACACCAAUUGCGAAGGCAGGUUACUAAGCCGUGAUUGACGCUGAUGCACGAAAGCGUGGGGAGCAAACAGGAUUAGAUACCCUGGUAGUCCACGCCCUAAACGUUGGAUACUAGAUGUUGGCGAAAUACGGUCAGCGUCGUAGUGAAAGCGUUAAGUAUCCCACCUGGGGAGUACGCUCGCAAGGGUGAAACUCAAAUGAAUUGACGGGG